Terrapene triunguis (Three-toed box turtle) is the source of this 93-nucleotide microRNA precursor. The record is from Ensembl. NCBI's taxonomy places the organism in Eukaryota, Metazoa, Chordata, Testudines, Emydidae.
GUCCUUUGGGGUGAGGUAGUAGGUUGUAUAGUUUUAGGGUUAUACCCUGCCUGUCAGAUAACUAUACAAUCUACUGUCUUUCCUGAAGUGGCU